Molecule: unclassified non-coding RNA, 219 nt
Filed under: uncultured Cryptococcus
Lineage: Eukaryota; Fungi; Basidiomycota; Tremellomycetes
Description: sequence contains ITS2
Source: RNAcentral
AAACCUCAACUCCAAGUUUGGUUAAUCCGAGCUUGGAUGUUGGAUGUGGGCGUUUGUCAAUGCCAAGUUGACUCGCCUUAAAAAUGUAAGCUGGAUUAGUCUUUGACUGGUUCCCCUAGGCGUAAUAAGUAUUUCGCUUAGGACACAAGUUUGCUUGUGGCCAGGACUUGACGAUAGUCUGCUUUCUAUACCCUACACACUUGUGUGUAACUUCUUGAC